This 253-nucleotide ribosomal RNA is filed under the name uncultured bacterium. Its description in RNAcentral is "partial 16S ribosomal RNA". It matches the Rfam family "Bacterial small subunit ribosomal RNA", at positions 524 to 776 of the family's 1533-position model. The record is from RNAcentral.
UACGGGGGGAGCAAACGUUGUUCGGAAUCACUGGGCGUAAAGGGCGCGUAGGCGGCCCGCUAAGUCGAACGUGAAAUCCCCGGGCUCAACCCGGGAACUGCGUCCGAUACUGGUGGGCUUGAAUCCGGGAGAGGGAUGCGGAAUUCCAGGUGUAGCGGUGAAAUGCGUAGAUAUCUGGAGGAACACCGGUGGCGAAGGCGGCAUCCUGGACCGGUAUUGACGCUGAGGCGCGAAAGCCAGGGGAGCAAACGGG